This 284-nucleotide long non-coding RNA is filed under the name Ictidomys tridecemlineatus (thirteen-lined ground squirrel). RNAcentral describes it as "lncRNA (ENSSTOG00000032934.1)". The record is from RNAcentral. Lineage: Eukaryota; Metazoa; Chordata; Mammalia; Rodentia; Sciuridae.
AUUGAUUGUGCUUUGGCAACUAGAUGCAGUGCUAGGCUUCACUCUGCAAGGUGUUUAAAAAGAAAAACAGGUUUACCCAGGAUUUAUCAUGUAUGGAAAAAUGUAAUCUCUAAGUAGGCUGUCUGCUAAUGUCGGGCAUAAUGUUUCUUCAUAAUGGUUAACCCUUUUUCAGGGAGUGGAAUAAUGCAAACAGUGCCUCUCUCUAGAUGGGAACUUUGCUUCAUGGGACAUUACAUAAUUAUGGAAACCAGACCCACUUCAUCAGUCAUGUAAUAGCUGAUACC